UCCCUGGCAGUCCAGUGGUUAGGACUCAGCACUUUCACUACUGAGGGCCUGGUUCAAUCCCUGAUUAGGGAA
This 72-nucleotide transfer RNA is filed under the name Bos taurus (domestic cattle). It matches the Rfam family "tRNA". Rfam says of the family: Transfer RNA (tRNA) molecules are approximately 80 nucleotides in length. Their secondary structure includes four short double-helical elements and three loops (D, anti-codon, and T loops). Further hydrogen bonds mediate the characteristic L-shaped molecular structure. tRNAs have two regions of fundamental functional importance: the anti-codon, which is responsible for specific mRNA codon recognition, and the 3' end, to which the tRNAs corresponding amino acid is attached (by aminoacyl-tRNA synthetases). tRNAs cope with the degeneracy of the genetic code in two manners: having more than one tRNA (with a specific anti-codon) for a particular amino acid; and 'wobble' base-pairing, i.e. permitting non-standard base-pairing at the 3rd anti-codon position. Lineage: Eukaryota; Metazoa; Chordata; Mammalia; Artiodactyla; Bovidae. The record is from Rfam by way of RNAcentral. RNAcentral also lists the same sequence under 2 other names.